This 253-nucleotide ribosomal RNA is filed under the name uncultured bacterium. RNAcentral's name for it is "partial 16S ribosomal RNA". It matches the Rfam family "Bacterial small subunit ribosomal RNA", at positions 524 to 776 of the family's 1533-position model. The record is from RNAcentral.
UACGGGGGGGGCAAGCGUUGUUCGGAAUUACUGGGCGUAAAGGGUUUGUAGGUGGCCAACUAAGUCAGACGUGAAAUCCCUCAGCUUAACUGGGGAACUGCGUCUGAUACUGGUUGGCUUGAGUGCAGGAGAGGAACGCGGAAUUCCAGGUGUAGCGGUGAAAUGCGUAGAUAUCAGGAGGAACACCGGUGGCGAAAGCGCUCAUCUGGCCCAAUACUGACGCUGAGGCGCGAAAGCUAGGGGAGCAAACGGG